GAGAAAGCUGAUAGGUUGGAGGAGCUGUGAUGUCCUGAAGUCAUGAAAGCAUAAGCCCAGAGAGAAGCCUAGCUUUGUAUCACCAUGCCCAGGACUAAGACAGACAAUAUGCUUAUUGUGAUUGGAUAUAAACACCUAAAACAUAACACUGAUGAACAAAGAAUGGCCUGGCCCCCACUGCUUGAGAGAUGCUUUAGGUUGAGGCUGGUCAAGUGUGGGUUCUCUUCCCUUCACUACUGAAAGGUGCAUAAUGGACACCAUCUCUAAUGGGAACCUGGCGACCAAGGUUUACCACUGACCACAGAACUUGUGGCUCAUAGCCUGUGACCCAAGCCAGGUUCAGCUCCCCUUCUCAGCAGCCAAGAAAGGACAAAUUAAUGGUAGAAAGCAGAAAAUGGAGAUUUAUCCAAUGAGGUCACCCUGGGAAAAACAAAGAGACUCAGGGACUACUCCCGUUACCCUAUGGGUCCUGAAGGGAGACUGAAGCUUAGGGAGAGGGUCGAGGAUAUGCACAUCUGAGUAGCCUGGGCAAGGUGUGGCCCGGCCCACCAUCGACCCAUCGUCGUCUGGUCCAGUUACAGACACACAGAAGAAUCUGAUAAAUGUGCAAAGUAAAUGUUCAGCUUUCCUUGACAAACUUUCGACUCAAUAUGAAAAAGAAUUACUUAGAGUCACCGUGCCCUCGUCACCACCCGUGUCCCAUUUGGUUAUUAAAUUGUCCCUUUACCUAGAGCAAGGAACAAAGAGACUGGCCUCAUGCUGCAUGCUUGUCAACUGGAUCCUGUUUUCUAUGUGCUUCAUUCUGCUUCACACACAUUUUUAUUUCAUGUUCACACUGGUCCCCACAUGGAGGCUGAGAGAAAAGAAGGUGAACCAUUGUUCUUAAAACCAGAACUGAAAGCCCGGCUCAUUUAAGGCAAAGACUAGUACUUUCUGAAUGCAAGACUAUAAUGACAGGAGAAGAGACUCUCAAUGGGAGUGUGUGGAAGUCAUCCUCAGACUCAGGUCAAGUUGCUCCUGUCUAUCCGCAUGAAGUUAGGAAAAGAACAAAUUGUCUCUUCAUCUGCCUGGCAAGGACAAGAACGAGCAGCAUCGUGACAAAACGUCACUAGAGGGCGCCAUUGUCAUCCUUGCAGGUGCAUAGCUGCUUGCCCAGGAGAUCAGCCCAUGGCCCCUGAAGACAGACUUGGGCGAGGGGUCCCAGAGUUCCAGGACCAUAAGGCUCAGGUCAGCUCUGCGUGAAAUUUAGGACAUCUCAGGCUUUAUUACAGAUACUUGGUCAUCUUUGAAACGUCCCGCGCUUUGCUUUGUUUUGCGUUUGUAAACACUCCAGGAAGCGAGUUACUAGAAGAACGCUGAAGUGAGACUCAGACGCAGGAGCAAAAACAAUAGCUCACGGUAUCGAUCUUGGAAAAGAUGGAAUUUAUUCCUUUAGGAAGAAAAAAUAGCCUAUAAGAAACCAGCUUUGCCCAGUUCUGAAGCAAGAAUGGAGACUCGAGUGAUAAUGAAGGAUCUCUAAUCCCAUUCCCUACCCACUGACAUCCCCGGACCCCCGCUAAUUCUAAUUCUAAUGCAAAGACCUUACUGGAUGUGGAAGUUAAGUAGUGGACACUACUGGAGCACCGAGUCCAGGGAGUACUUAGUAAAUAGUGUUGAAUGAGUAGAUGACUAGGCGGGUGAUGUCCUACUUAGCGGCAGCAAGGGGCUCUCUGGAACCACCUCCCAGCCUUUGGCCCUGAUCUUCAACUGCUGUGCCUAGGAAAAAGGAGUGAGUGAGCACAGUGGAGACGAGGCAUGGGCAGUGUUUGCAUCCCCCUCCUUUGCAGUGGCUACAGAUACAGCUUCAUCUUUGCAGUGGCUGCUUCAUAAACACCUGGUGAAUAAAGCAAGCAGAGCUGGCUCUAAUUAGGGCUUACAGGUGAAACUAAGCUGUGGAAAACAGUUUUGAGGGGAAGACACUAAUGACAGGAUCUGCCCGUGUGUGUCAUCGUCUCCCAUCAGCUGCAGGGUCUGUCCUCGGCUGUAAUUAACUUAGAACUAGUUAGGCAGCAGUGAGGUGAGGGGAUGGAGCAGACAGAGGAGGCACAGCAGAGAUGCCCUAAUGGCUUUUCCAUAUCCAGGUUGAUGGACUGUUAAGAAAAGCAGGAACAGCUUGUACUAUUCUUGGCAGCAUGAACACUGUCAUUUGUGGCAGCUAUAGGUCAUGUAUCUAUUUUCUCUGUUUGACAGGGACAAGGAGCAGUCGGUGACUGGUACAAACCCAGAGUGGCUCAUUUAAGCUGUGACGACCAGGACAGAGCCUUGGUUUUCCUGUGUGAGCUGUCGAGGAGACCAUGUGUGUGGCUAACAUCUGCACAUCUCUGCAAACUUAACUGGAGUUAGCUGAGCUCUGACUGCAGGCCAAGAGUGUCAAUGUUUCUAUCGGUAAGGGGACAUGGAGGAGCACUGAGUAGCCAAGUAACAAGACAACCCCUGUGGCCAGUCUUAUGGAACUGACUUUGGAGUAUGGAAAAGCAAGAUUAUUGAAUUACAUACGACUGAUAUACUGAGCCUCAAGACUGUAAGAAAACCACCACCAAGAGGAACUCUACACAAGCCUUAUUCUCCGGAUUAGUGGUUCUACUCAGCCCUCAGCGUGUACCAAGAGGCCCCGAGGUGUAAACAGCAGAGGCUUGCUGCACACUGGAUGAUGACACGCAAUAGAUUUGAAGAUAAGCUACCACCCUGGAGGCCUUCAUACAGAAGGGCCGUGUGGGCUCAGGGCUUGUGGUAUGUCACACAAACAGGAACACUUUACUUAGCGAGAGCUUGGAAGUGUUAGCGUGACCAAAGGAGACACUGGGAUGUAGUCCAACCUUUUCCUUGCAGAAUGAAUUCAGGUUGUGACCUGCCUUUCACAGCCACCCUGACCUCUUGAUGAGUUACAGUUGA
Molecule: long non-coding RNA, 2931 nt
Organism: Peromyscus californicus insignis
Lineage: Eukaryota; Metazoa; Chordata; Mammalia; Rodentia; Cricetidae
Exons: 4
Source: RefSeq, a predicted model, not a curated record